CGGAGGGGGAGGGGCGGCCUCUAGCGCGCCUUUGUGCUUGAACAAUGACCAGCUGCCACUGGCCCCAGGGGCCAGGCUAGGGUAGAGGGUGAUCCGCCCGCCAAGUUCCGAGCCGCAAAACACAUGUCCACCCGGCUUCGCAGGGAGGGAUCCUGAACGCUGCCGUGCAGCUCCGGCGUGCGCCCUGGCGGACACGCGUGACGUGGGGUGCUUGCGCGUGUCUGCGCCCCAGGGCGGGGACGCCCCUUGGACCCUCCUCCGCACCGCACCGCACCGCCCACUCGGGCCGGGCGGGGGCUGGCCCGGGCUGGGGGCACCGCCGUGGCGGAGGCGGGGCCCGGUCAGCCCGGCUGCUCCGAGUGGCCGCGCGCGGGCCGGAGCGGGCGACGCGCCUGUGGAGCGCUUGGGGCGGCCUGGGGCUGAGCAUGGAGCAACGCAGCGGAGGUGAGGGGGCCAGGGCUGGGUCG
Molecule: long non-coding RNA, 467 nt
Filed under: Marmota monax (woodchuck)
Lineage: Eukaryota; Metazoa; Chordata; Mammalia; Rodentia; Sciuridae
Source: RNAcentral